Molecule: long non-coding RNA, 3671 nt
Organism: Gallus gallus (chicken)
Lineage: Eukaryota; Metazoa; Chordata; Aves; Galliformes; Phasianidae
Source: Ensembl
GGCAUGAGUAAGGGUGAAGUCCAACAUGCACAUGGCUGUUCACAGGGCUGAACCCCUCUCCAAAUGUCCUCCUCAGCAAAUGCAGUGGUUGAGGCCAUGAAUAAAAGAUCUCCACUGGGCUCAGUGCUCUGCCCAGGCUCAGUUCAUUUCUACUUACUGAUUAUUACUCACCGAAUGUAAAGUCUGUAGAAGUCUAACUAAUUGGUCACCGUGUUCUGGUGGCUGCACCCUGUGGGAGAUCGAUUGCUGGGGCUCAGGGUUUGUGUGUUCCUGCAGCAGGAUGCUGAGCUGCUGAGCUGCUGCCUGUCCAUUCCACACUUCUUUGGACCCAAAGCUUUCUGAUGAGGGAUUUCCAGGCACUGGGAGGUUGUAGAUAUUUCUCUAUAAAUUCUCUUCUUAGUGCACUGAACUCGGAGAAAACUUUUAAUUAUUGCCAGAACAUUUCUUGCGAAUAGCAAUAAAAGUGUGAAGCUGAUUAAAAAAAAAAAAGGGGGAGAUCAAGGAGAAGUUCCAUUUCUGAAAGCAAGCUGCUGACUGUGUUCUAACAAGUGAGCCUAUGUUCUGCUUAACAGCCCCUAAGUCAGGGAUACAAGACACCCUUCUGUCCAGAGUGCAGUGAGUAAAAGCUUGCUUUUGGCUUCAGCUGGCUCUGGAACCCCAGAGCUGACCCCCACUCAGUCUUUUCCCAUCCCUCAGUCUCCCUGUCCCCGUGUAGGGUUGGUGCCAGAGCCAUCUCUCUGUGAGCUCAGCACUGUGACUGUUCAGCAGAUGCAAAGUGCUGUGACUUGCAGGGGAUUAGCAAAAACCACCUUGCUGCUGUUCUGCCCCACAGUUCUGUACCCGCAGGCAGGCUCUGACAGCCGGGAAACAUUCAGAAAAUGAGUGUGUGUGUAACAUCUGCAUGCACCAGCUGAUUGCAGGGCUCUGUGGGGUCGCAGCUGGAGAUCCCUCUUUACAUGCAGGCACUCGUGUUCAAUGAUGUGCUUGACUCUUCUUUCUUUGGUUGGUGGAGUGCUUGCUCUUGCAGGGGAUGCAACAUCUCCACUGCAGUAAGUGACAAAGAGGGGUGAGGGCCGUAUAACCGUAAGGAUCACCUGGUGCUUGUCGGCACAGCUAAUCCCUUGCCUGUUUCAUCUCUGAUUCUCCCGGCUGAGGAACAAAGCCUGCAAGGAACCAACUUAAAAAAAAAUAAUAAUAAUGCCUGAAACUAAAGGAAAUCAAAAGCAAAUUAUUUCCCAGAUUAUAGCCCUCCAGAGCUGCUGAGAUAUUGCCUAUUUUUCACAGCAGACAAAAACAUUUUCCUGGGGAUCAAUUUAGCUUCCAGAAGUCGGCUCCUUUCAACCCAUAAUCCAUCAUAUUUCCCCAUUUGCAAUCUCUCUGUGUCUGAGUGUUUUAAGUUUCCUAUGAAUUAUUUUAUAAAGAGUAUAAAGAGGCCUUUCUUUCUGCUGAAAUGAGGGAGUUGCCUUGCUGCCCUAUCAGGUCAGAUACCAUUAGACUGUUGUACAAGGGGGCCCUGCCAUCCAUACCUCCAUAUUGGCAACUACCUUAGUAGUCUCAUCUGUCAAAGAGAUCCAGUAAUCAAUCACUGCGGUGAUCAAUAUGCAGCUUAUGCAUUCAUCAUUCCUUUGAGGAGACUAUUAGGAUGAAGUUGUCAGUGAAACAGGAACAAAGGGAGAAAUACACUGAGAUGGCUGAGGGGUGUGUGCGUGCGCUGGGGCAAGAAGAGGAGCUUAAAGAGAGGAAAUACAGCCCUGCUGAAAAAAGGGAAGGAAUUUUGCACCUUGAGGGAAGGAGAAGUUGGUGACAGAUUUAUCUGGGUGCCCACGAGCACAGUGCAGGAGGUGACUCAUCUCUCAAGAGACGGAGCAGUGUAAAAAUUUCCAGAUCUCUUGAUUGGUGUGUCAGCAUGAUUUGUGGCUGCUCUGCCAAGGUAAAUGGGUACGGAAAGGAGCUGGGCACGAGCAAACCGAGCAGCACAGCGCGGUGUGGGACAGCUUAUGGAUGAACCCACGGGAAGCACAUCGAGGCAGGGAGUGGACUAUUUAUUUAUUGCCUUGAUCUCGUGCCUUUAUUCCAUUUAAUCUGAACCUGGGAAUUAUUGCAAACAUUGAUGUUCACUUCUGCCUGGAAAAACACAGCAGGAUCCCUCCUGGUCUCACAGCACAGCACCUGGAGGCAGUGCUGAUGAGCACAAAAUCCCUGCGUGGGGCAGUGCCACCCAGCUGUGCUCCCGGGGUAGAAGAGGAGAAGGGUGUCCACCACCUGGUGAUGAAAGGAGAGACAGAUACCGUGGGUGCUGGUAGGCAGCUGCUUACUGCCAUCACCCUGCUGAUGCCCAGCCCUUGUGCCUUGGGCACUGGAUUUCUGCCAUGAGAGGAGUGGGGCUGGCACCCAGCUCUGUAAGUCCAGUAGAGUUAUGGGGAAAGAGUUAAUUCAGCCGGGCCCUUGGGAAGUUGUAGGCUCACUUCUGAUUAUUCCUUUGUCUGGAUGGCAGAGCCAUUAUUUAGUCUCUAUAAUAAUUUACAUUAAUUGGAUGUAAUGCAUAACAAAUUUAUGAGACUGAGGCUAGGCUCAGCUUUUGCAUGAAACUCAUCAUUAUGAUGUGCUGACCAAGCACUGUGGGCAAAGGAACAGAAAAGUGCAACUACAUUCUCCUUGUACCCCUGCCACCCCCCCCAAUGCCCACAGAAGCCCCUUGCUGGUCCCUGUGGCUCUGCUGCUCCGUUAGGAGGCCAACUUCAGACCCAUCAGCAGAACCAAUGGCCCUGCCGAUGUCCCAAAAGGCAGCAAUGGAGAUCUUCCUUCCUUCCUUCUCCCCACAUCACUUUCCCCUCCUGUGGGAGGUACAGCUCGCACCACUGGGAAAGGGGAUAUGGCUGUAUGUGCCACGGGUUGCCUCCUUUUUGGUUGCAUGCUGAACUGAAAGAGAAAAAAGCCUGAAGAUUUCUCCAGCAGAGCAGGAGGGCUGAGCCAGGUCACUGCAACCAGUGGGGCCAGGAGGCUCUGACCAGGUCAGCAAGGCUUUGGAAACAAAGAGGCAAUGGCCAGCAGCAUGAUCCGUGGUGCUAAUUAGUUUGACCCCAGUGACUGCAUCUUAAAGCAACACGGCUGACCUCUGACCGCCGACUCCUUCCGCUGUGAUCCAAUAAAAGUCGAAGGAAUGAAUUUUGCUUAGCAUGUGGCCCCAGGGUAUUUAUCCCUUAACUAAUUUGUAAGAAACCUCGGAAAUCACAGAAUCCUUCCAUUAACCUUCGUGUCCAUACUUUACAAGGUGCGGUUUCCCUCUCCGAUGCAAAGACCUUUCAUAAACACAGCAUCACCCCCCCACUGCUGCCCAGUGUGCCCACCCAGGGAUGCUCCUCCUGAGGCCAUCAACCAGUUUUUUCAUGGGAAUAGAGAAUAACCCCGAGGUGAAGCCCAUCUGGUUCCAUUUUGGGUGCUCCCUUCCCCUAUCCUGACUGAGGAAUGGAUCUGACGUUCCAUGAUGGUCCAACCAGUGACCACGAGUCCCAAGUCCUUCUCUCUUGUCAGCCACUUCCAGGGUGCCAUGCAUCUUAGUCCUUCGUGCCAGUAAUUUAUUAGGGAAUUAAGUGUAUUGCAUAGGAAUCGUGCCAGUAAUGCUUCGCCAGUAUAUGUACAACACUUUGUUAAUUAAAAGUAUUAGGCAAUAU